This is a non-coding RNA of Myripristis murdjan (pinecone soldierfish), 495 nucleotides long. The record is from the annotation of a RefSeq genome assembly. NCBI's taxonomy places the organism in Eukaryota, Metazoa, Chordata, Actinopteri, Holocentriformes, Holocentridae.
UCAAAAUAAUGAUGAUGCUACUGAUUCCUCUGGUAACUGCGCUGCUGCUCCGACUGCCAGGAUCCAGUGGCAGUAAAGUUGUGACUCAGUCCCCUGUAUCCAAGUCUGUUGGUCUGGGAGAAACUGUCUCUCUGAGCUGUACAGCCAGUUCAGGAGUUGAUGAUGAUCUGAGUUGGUACCUGCAGAAACCUGGACAGACUCCCAAACUGCUGUUUUAUAAAAUAAGUACACGUGCAUCAAACACUCCUGAUCAUUUCAGCAGCAGCGGCUCUGAACCCGACUUCACUCUGACCAUCAGUGGAGUCAAGGCUGAAGAUGCAGGAGUUUACUACUGUAUGGGAGCAUAUCGUGGUCCGGUGUUCACACAGUGAUAGAGAGCUGUACAAAAACCUCCCUCAGUCAGACUGCAUAGACACUGACUUGUUAGAGCAGGAACUGACUGCAGCUGCUGAAGGGAAAGAGACUCUGACACAGACCACUGAACACAGAGCUGAG